GGGUUGUGAGGUUAAGCGACUAAGCGUACACGGUGGAUGCCCUGGCAGUCAGAGGCGAUGAAGGACGUGCUAAUCUGCGAUAAGCGUCGGUAAGGUGAUAUGAACCGUUAUAACCGGCGAUUUCCGAAUGGGGAAACCCAGUGUGAUUCGUCACACUAUCAUUAACUGAAUCCAUAGGUUAAUGAGGCGAACCGGGGGAACUGAAACAUCUAAGUACCCCGAGGAAAAGAAAUCAACCGAGAUUCCCCCAGUAGCGGCGAGCGAACGGGGAGCAGCCCAGAGCCUGAAUCAGUGUGUGUGUUAGUGGAAGCGUCUGGAAAGGCGCGCGAUACAGGGUGACAGCCCCGUACACAAAAAUGCACAUACUGUGAGCUCGAUGAGUAGGGCGGGACACGUGGUAUCCUGUCUGAAUAUGGGGGACCAUCCUCCAAGGCUAAAUACUCCUGACUGACCGAUAGUGAACCAGUACCGUGAGGGAAAGGCGAAAAGAACCCCGGCGAGGGGAGUGAAAAGAACCUGAAACCGUGUACGUACAAGCAGUGGGAGCACGCUUAGGCGUGUGACUGCGUACCUUUUGUAUAAUGGGUCAGCGACUUAUAUUCUGUAGCAAGGUUAACCGAAUAGGGGAGCCGAAGGGAAACCGAGUCUUAACUGGGCGUUAAGUUGCAGGGUAUAGACCCGAAACCCGGUGAUCUAGCCAUGGGCAGGUUGAAGGUUGGGUAACACUAACUGGAGGACCGAACCGACUAAUGUUGAAAAAUUAGCGGAUGACUUGUGGCUGGGGUGAAAGGCCAAUCAAACCGGGAGAUAGCUGGUUCUCCCCGAAAGCUAUUUAGGUAGCGCCUCGUGAAUUCAUCUCCGGGGGUAGAGCACUGUUUCGGCAAGGGGGUCAUCCCGACUUACCAACCCGAUGCAAACUGCGAAUACCGGAGAAUGUUAUCACGGGAGACACACGGCGGGUGCUAACGUCCGUCGUGAAGAGGGAAACAACCCAGACCGCCAGCUAAGGUCCCAAAGUCAUGGUUAAGUGGGAAACGAUGUGGGAAGGCCCAGACAGCCAGGAUGUUGGCUUAGAAGCAGCCAUCAUUUAAAGAAAGCGUAAUAGCUCACUGGUCGAGUCGGCCUGCGCGGAAGAUGUAACGGGGCUAAACCAUGCACCGAAGCUGCGGCAGCGACGCUGAUGCGUUGUUGGGUAGGGGAGCGUUCUGUAAGCCUGUGAAGGUGUGCUGUGAGGCAUGCUGGAGGUAUCAGAAGUGCGAAUGCUGACAUAAGUAACGAUAAAGCGGGUGAAAAGCCCGCUCGCCGGAAGACCAAGGGUUCCUGUCCAACGUUAAUCGGGGCAGGGUGAGUCGACCCCUAAGGCGAGGCCGAAAGGCGUAGUCGAUGGGAAACAGGUUAAUAUUCCUGUACUUGGUGUUACUGCGAAGGGGGACGGAGAAGGCUAUGUUGGUCGGGCGACGGUUGUCCCGGUUUAAGCGUGUAGGCUGGUUUUCCAGGCAAAUCCGGAAAAUCAAGGCUGAGGCGUGAUGACGAGGCACUACGGUGCUGAAGCAACAAAUGCCCUGCUUCCAGGAAAAGCCUCUAAGCAUCAGGUAACAUCAAAUCGUACCCCAAACCGACACAGGUGGUCAGGUAGAGAAUACCAAGGCGCUUGAGAGAACUCGGGUGAAGGAACUAGGCAAAAUGGUGCCGUAACUUCGGGAGAAGGCACGCUGAUAUGUAGGUGAAGCGACUUGCUCGUGGAGCUGAAAUCAGUCGAAGAUACCAGCUGGCUGCAACUGUUUAUUAAAAACACAGCACUGUGCAAACACGAAAGUGGACGUAUACGGUGUGACGCCUGCCCGGUGCCGGAAGGUUAAUUGAUGGGGUCAGCGCAAGCGAAGCUCUUGAUCGAAGCCCCGGUAAACGGCGGCCGUAACUAUAACGGUCCUAAGGUAGCGAAAUUCCUUGUCGGGUAAGUUCCGACCUGCACGAAUGGCGUAAUGAUGGCCAGGCUGUCUCCACCCGAGACUCAGUGAAAUUGAACUCGCUGUGAAGAUGCAGUGUACCCGCGGCAAGACGGAAAGACCCCGUGAACCUUUACUAUAGCUUGACACUGAACAUUGAGCCUUGAUGUGUAGGAUAGGUGGGAGGCUUUGAAGUGUGGACGCCAGUCUGCAUGGAGCCGACCUUGAAAUACCACCCUUUAAUGUUUGAUGUUCUAACGUUGACCCGUAAUCCGGGUUGCGGACAGUGUCUGGUGGGUAGUUUGACUGGGGCGGUCUCCUCCUAAAGAGUAACGGAGGAGCACGAAGGUUGGCUAAUCCUGGUCGGACAUCAGGAGGUUAGUGCAAUGGCAUAAGCCAGCUUGACUGCGAGCGUGACGGCGCGAGCAGGUGCGAAAGCAGGUCAUAGUGAUCCGGUGGUUCUGAAUGGAAGGGCCAUCGCUCAACGGAUAAAAGGUACUCCGGGGAUAACAGGCUGAUACCGCCCAAGAGUUCAUAUCGACGGCGGUGUUUGGCACCUCGAUGUCGGCUCAUCACAUCCUGGGGCUGAAGUAGGUCCCAAGGGUAUGGCUGUUCGCCAUUUAAAGUGGUACGCGAGCUGGGUUUAGAACGUCGUGAGACAGUUCGGUCCCUAUCUGCCGUGGGCGCUGGAGAACUGAGGGGGGCUGCUCCUAGUACGAGAGGACCGGAGUGGACGCAUCACUGGUGUUCGGGUUGUCAUGCCAAUGGCACUGCCCGGUAGCUAAAUGCGGAAGAGAUAAGUGCUGAAAGCAUCUAAGCACGAAACUUGCCCCGAGAUGAGUUCUCCCUGACUCCUUGAGAGUCCUGAAGGAACGUUGAAGACGACGACGUUGAUAGGCCGGGUGUGUAAGCGCAGCGAUGCGUUGAGCUAACCGGUACUAAUGAACCGUGAGGCUUAACCUUACAACGCCGAAG
Molecule: ribosomal RNA, 2921 nt
Filed under: Escherichia coli
Lineage: Bacteria; Pseudomonadati; Pseudomonadota; Gammaproteobacteria; Enterobacterales; Enterobacteriaceae
Description: bacterial LSU rRNA
Rfam family: Bacterial large subunit ribosomal RNA
Source: RNAcentral